RNAcentral lists this ribosomal RNA (109 nucleotides) under Enterococcus faecalis PF3. Its description in RNAcentral is "partial 16S ribosomal RNA". It matches the Rfam family "Bacterial small subunit ribosomal RNA", at positions 1424 to 1533 of the family's 1533-position model. The record is from RNAcentral. Lineage: Bacteria; Bacillati; Bacillota; Bacilli; Lactobacillales; Enterococcaceae.
AAGUAGGUAGCUUAACCUUCGGAGGGCGCUUACCACUUUGUGAUUCAUGACUGGGGUGAAGUCGUAACAAGGUAACCGUAGGGGAACCUGCGGUUGGAUCACCUCCUUA